UGUGCGAUGAAGGUCUUCGGAUCGUAAAGCACUGUCGCCCGGGAAAAAGAAAAUGAUGGUACCGGGAGAGGAAGCACCGGCUAACUCUGUGC
This 92-nucleotide ribosomal RNA is filed under the name uncultured bacterium. Its description in RNAcentral is "partial 16S ribosomal RNA". It matches the Rfam family "Bacterial small subunit ribosomal RNA", at positions 402 to 508 of the family's 1533-position model. The record is from RNAcentral.